GAUGAACGCUGGCGGCGUGCCUAAUACAUGCAAGUAGAACGCUGAAGGAAGGAGCUUGCUCUUUCCGGAUGAGUUGCGAACGGGUGAGUAACGCGUAGGUAACCUGCCUGGUAGCGGGGGAUAACUAUUGGAAACGAUAGCUAAUACCGCAUAACAGUAGAUGUUGUAUGAUAUCUACUUAAAAGGUGCAAUUGCACCACUACCAGAUGGACCUGCGUUGUAUUAGCUAGUUGGUGAGGUAACGGCUCACCAAGGCGACGAUACAUAGCCGACCUGAGAGGGUGAUCGGCCACACUGGGACUGAGACACGGCCCAGACUCCUACGGGAGGCAGCAGUAGGGAAUCUUCGGCAAUAGACGGAAGUCUGACCGAGCAACGCCGCGUGAGUGAAGAAGGUUUUCGGAUCGUAAAGCUCUGUUGUAAGAGAAGAACGAGUGUGAGAGUGGAAAGUUCACACUGUGACGGUAUCUUACCAGAAAGGGACGGCUAACUACGUG
This 497-nucleotide ribosomal RNA is filed under the name uncultured bacterium. Its description in RNAcentral is "partial 16S ribosomal RNA". It matches the Rfam family "Bacterial small subunit ribosomal RNA", at positions 28 to 507 of the family's 1533-position model. The record is from RNAcentral.